CCUACGGGUGACAGCAGUGAGGAAUAUUGGACAAUGGACGCGAGCCUGAACCAGCCAAGCAGCGUGAAUGAUGACUGCCCUAUGGGUUGUAAACUUCUUUUAUAUGGGAAUAAAACAGGGUAUGCAUACCCUCUUGUAUGUACCAUAUGAAUAAGGAACGGGCAACUCGGUUCCAGCAGCCGCGGGAAUACGGAGGAUCCGAGCGUUAUCCGGAUUUAUUGGGUUUAACGGGAGCGUAGGUGGUCUGUUAAGUCAGUUGUGAAAGCUCGUGGCUCAACCUGAGAAUUGCAGUUGAAACUGGCAGGCUAGAGUAUAGUAGAGGGGGGUAGAAUUCGAGGUGUAGCGGUGAAAUGCGUAGAGAUCUGGAAGAACACCGAUGGCGAAGGCAGCUCACUGGACAAAGACUGACACUGAGGUGCGAAAGUGUGGGUAGCAAACAGGAUUAGAUACCCGAGUAGUC
This 460-nucleotide ribosomal RNA is filed under the name uncultured bacterium. RNAcentral's name for it is "partial 16S ribosomal RNA". It matches the Rfam family "Bacterial small subunit ribosomal RNA", at positions 338 to 795 of the family's 1533-position model. The record is from RNAcentral.